RNAcentral lists this unclassified non-coding RNA (518 nucleotides) under uncultured Glomeromycotina. Its description in RNAcentral is "SSU rRNA". It matches the Rfam family "Eukaryotic small subunit ribosomal RNA", at positions 571 to 1092 of the family's 1831-position model. Lineage: Eukaryota; Fungi; Glomeromycota. The record is from RNAcentral.
CAGCCGCGUAAUUCCAGCUCCAAUAGCGUAUAUUAAAGUUGUUGCAGUUAAAAAGCUCGUAGUUGAAUUUCGGGAUCAGUUGAUCGGUCGUGCCUCGGUACGUACUGGUCAAAUUGAUUCCUACCUUCUGACGAACCACGAUGUCAUUAAUUUGAUGUCGCGGGAAAUCAGGACUGUUACUUUGAAAAAAUUAGAGUGUUUAAAGCAGGCUCGCGCUUGAAUACAUUAGCAUGGAAUAAUGAAAUAGGACGUUUGAUUCUAUUUUGUUGGUUUCUAGGAUCGACGUAAUGAUUAAAAGGGAUAGUUGGGGGCAUUAGUAUUCAAUUGUCAGAGGUGAAAUUCUUGGAUUUAUUGAAGACUAACUACUGCGAAAGCAUUUGCCAAGGAUGUUUUCAUUAAUCAAGAACGAAAGUUAGGGGAUCGAAGACGAUCAGAUACCGUCGUAGUCUUAACCAUAAACUAUGCCGACUAGGAAUCGGAUGAUGUUAAUUUUUUAAUGACUCAUUCGGCGCCUUACG